GACGAACGCUGGCGGCGUGCUUAACACAUGCAAGUCGAACGGUAAGGCCCUUCGGGGUACACGAGUGGCGGACGGGUGAGUAACACGUGGGUGAUCUGCCCUGCACUUCGGGAUAAGUCUGGGAAACUGGGUCUAAUACCGGAUAGGACCACUGCCUGCAUGGGUGGUGGUGGAAAGCUUUUGCGGUGUGGGAUGGGCCCGCGGCCUAUCAGCUUGUUGGUGGGGUGAUGGCCUACCAAGGCGACGACGGGUAGCCGGCCUGAGAGGGUGACCGGCCACACUGGGACUGGGAUACGGCCCAGACUCCUACGGGAGGCAGCAGUGGGGAAUAUUGCACAAUGGGCGCAAGCCUGAUGCAGCGACGCCGCGUGAGGGAUGACGGCCUUCGGGUUGUAAACCUCUUUCAGCACCGACGAAGCGCAAGUGACGGUAGGUGCAGAAGAAGGACCGGCCAACUACGUGCCAGCCGCCGCGGUAA
Molecule: ribosomal RNA, 478 nt
Filed under: uncultured bacterium
Lineage: Bacteria
Description: partial 16S ribosomal RNA
Rfam family: Bacterial small subunit ribosomal RNA
Source: RNAcentral